This 1580-nucleotide long non-coding RNA is filed under the name Mytilus galloprovincialis (Mediterranean mussel). The record is from RNAcentral. Lineage: Eukaryota; Metazoa; Mollusca; Bivalvia; Mytilida; Mytilidae.
AAGUGUAACUGGUUGUGUUUUGUAAAGAAUGAACUGUUUGUUAUAGGUUUAUGUGAUUAUAUUUCGCAUACUUCUCUUAAAUGUCCAAACAUAAAUAUAUAUAUAUGUCGUGUACAUGUUAUUAUUUUGUACAGGUUUUACUUGUACAAAUUUCAUACAAGUAAUUACUUGUAUGAUGCCAUCAUACAGGUUAUUACUUGUAUAAAUAUAAUUUACAAGUAAUAACCCUGUACAAAAUUUUGUGGAGAAAAAAUAAUAACUUGUACAAAUCAUUAUUUUAUAUUGGCCUAUUUGAAGUUCACAACAAAUUGUUUCCCUUUUAACAUAUAAUUCAUUACUUUGCCUAAAGUUAUAAACUCUCAAUAUGUGAGUACAUUUAACAUAUCAAGUAUAUGAGCAAAACUGUUCAUUUAAGUAGUCAAAACUAAAGUGCAGAGAUGGAAAACAGUAUAGAAAAGAAAUUUAAUGAUGAAAUAAUUAAAUUGUGUGAUGACAAUAAUAAUUCUUCUAAUAAUUCAUUAUUUACACGUGAAAGAUACAGAGAGACUAUUGGGAAUGUAAAGAAAGCAAAAUUAAGUUCCAAAAGACUGCCUUCAAGAUAUUUAGCAAUAUGAUAUUUUGAGUGUAGCAGCAUGAAAAACUCAUUCGCAAAGGCGACAUUGUUUUUUUACUAUUGUACAGUAGAUGAACUUUAUCCAUUAACAUUAGAACUGCACAUUCUGGAAUUGGCCAUGGAGGCAUCCACAAGACAUACAAGGAGUUAAUAAAACAAUUUGCCAAUAUCAGCAGAGAAUUUAUCAGAAUUCAUUCAGAUGUGUGAACAAUGUAUUGAAGAGUCGUACUGCAACCACAAAAUUAGUUGUUCGUCCUAUCACUUCUACAGACUUUAAUUCCCGCUGUCAAGUAGACCUUGUACUAUCAGUCAUUUCCAAAUGAGAAUACAAGUGGAUCAUUGCACUACCAGGACCACUUUUUUACUACUUAGGAUCUAUAUACUGCAAAGUGAUAAUGGAAGGGAAUUUACGGCUAUUGUAAUUACAGAACUUAAACAUGUUAAACUCAUUUGGCCAGAGCUGAAAUAAAUGAAUGAGGGGUACCAAUUUUUUUUUGCUUUUAACGACCAUGUCACUUUGCACCAGAAGUCCGUAUUUACGUGGAAUCUAGCUGUUUAGCUAAAUUUGCAUAAGAUGUCACAUGAGCUUAUGUCAUUACUUUGCGUCCUUCGUUCAUCUGUAAACUUCUAACAUUUCAACAAUUAUACUGAUAAACAGAAAAACAAACACAAUAUAAAUUUCAAAAAAUACGAAAGAUAAUGAUUGUAAAGUAUUAUUUUCUCCACAAAAUUUGUACAGGUUAUUACUUGUACAAUUAUAUUUAUACAAGUAAUAACCUGUAUGAUGGCAUCAUACAAGUAAUUACUUGUAUGAAAAUUUUGUACAAGUAAUAACCUGUACAAAAUAAUAAAAUGUACACGACAUAUAUAUAUGAGAGAUAUGUUUUGUCUUCAAUUUUAUUUAUGCAAACCACUGAAUUCCUAAUGUUCACUAAAAAAAUGUAGAACGAAAACAAGAUUGAGUAGC